CCCCCCUUGGGUUGAAACCUCUUUUCACAGGAAAAUAAUGACGGUCCUGUGGAAUAAGCUUCGGCUAACUACGAUGCCACGCAGCCGCGGUAAUACGUAUGAAGCAAGCGUUAUCCGGAUUUAUUGGGCGUAAAGUGAGCGUAGGUGGUCUUUCAGUUGGAUGUGAAAUUUCCCGGCUUAACCGGGACGAGUCAUUCAAUACUGUUGGACUAGAGUACAGCAGGAGAAAACGGAAUUCCCGGUGUAGUGGUAAAAUGCGUAGAUAUCGGGAGGAACACCAGAGGCGAAGGCGGUUUUCUAGGUUGUCACUGACACUGAGGCUCGAAAGCGUGGGGAGCGAACAGAAUUAGAUACUCUGGUAGUCCACGCCUUAAACUAUGGACACUAGGUAUAGGGAGUAUCACCCUCUCUGUGCCGAAGC
Molecule: ribosomal RNA, 421 nt
Filed under: uncultured bacterium
Lineage: Bacteria
Description: bacterial SSU rRNA
Rfam family: Bacterial small subunit ribosomal RNA
Source: RNAcentral